Molecule: long non-coding RNA, 352 nt
Organism: Oncorhynchus tshawytscha (Chinook salmon)
Lineage: Eukaryota; Metazoa; Chordata; Actinopteri; Salmoniformes; Salmonidae
Source: Ensembl
GUACAGGAUGGCAGGCAGGCUCAGGGUCAGGCAGAGGUACAGGAUGGCAGGCAGGCAGGCUCAGGCAGAGGUACAGGAUGUCAGGCAGGCUCAGGGUCAGGCAGGGGUACAGGCUCAGGGUCAGGCAGAGGUACAGGAUCAGGGUCAGGCAGAGGUACAGGCUCAGGGUCGGGAGAGGUACAGGACGGCAGGCAGGCUCAGGGUCAGGCAGAGGUACAGGACGGCAGGCAGGCUCAGGGUCAGGCAGGGGUACAGGAUGGCAGGCAGGCUCAGGGUCAGGCAGAGGUACAGGAUGGCAGGCAGGCUCAGGGUCAGGCAGAGGUACAGGAUGUCAGGCAGGCUCAGGGUCAGG